AGUUGGUCAGACAAUCGCUGGUUUAUUGAAGCCCUUAGUGCCGUAAGGCAAGCCUGAAAUAGGUGAUAAGUGGGACAAGUAAACGAGAGGAAAGUCCGGGCUACAAAGGGCAGAGUGCCAGUUAACGGCUGGGCAGCGCGAGCUGACGACAAGUGCAACAGAGAGCAGACCGCCUUUUUUCGGAAAGGUAAGGGUGAAAGGGUGCGGUAAGAGCGCACCGCGUGGCUGGUAACAGUUCACGGCAAGGUAAACUCCACUCGUAGCAAGACCAAAUAGGAACUCAAUGGGUGUGCCCGCUCAGAGUUCGGGUAGGUUGCUUGAGCGUUAUAGUGAUGUAACGCCUAGAGGAAUGAUUGUCCAACGACAGAACCCGGCUUAUCGACCAACUCA
RNAcentral lists this RNase P RNA (390 nucleotides) under pig gut metagenome. Its description in RNAcentral is "Bacterial RNase P class A". It matches the Rfam family "Bacterial RNase P class A". From Rfam's summary of the family: Ribonuclease P (RNase P) is a ubiquitous endoribonuclease, found in archaea, bacteria and eukarya as well as chloroplasts and mitochondria. Its best characterised activity is the generation of mature 5'-ends of tRNAs by cleaving the 5'-leader elements of precursor-tRNAs. Cellular RNase Ps are ribonucleoproteins. The record is from RNAcentral.